CCAGCACCCCGACGUGGUCGGGGACGGAUUAUUGGGCCGUAAAGACAUCCGUAGCCGGUUUUACUAAGUCCUCCGUUAAAUCCAACUGCUUAACAGAUGGGCCGCGGAGGAUACUAUAAGACUAGGAGGCAGGAGAGGCAAGCGGUACUCAGUGGGUAGGGGGUAAAAUACCGUUGAUCCAUUGAAGACCACCAGUGGCGAAGGCGGCUUGCCAGAAUGCGCUCGACGGUGAGGGAUGAAAGCUGGGGGAGCAAACCGGAUUAGAUACCCGGGUAGUCCCAGCUGUAAACGAUGCAGACUCGGUGAUGGACUAGCUUCAUGCUAGUCCAGUGCCGCAGGGAAGCCGUUAAGUCUGCCGCCUGGGUAGUACGGUCGCAAGACUG
This 383-nucleotide ribosomal RNA is filed under the name uncultured organism. RNAcentral describes it as "bacterial SSU rRNA". It matches the Rfam family "Archaeal small subunit ribosomal RNA", at positions 476 to 851 of the family's 1478-position model. The record is from RNAcentral.